AUCCAGCUCACGAUUCCCACAUAGGAGGAACCGCGCGUCCUGGAU
This 45-nucleotide non-coding RNA is filed under the name Schistosoma curassoni. The record is from RNAcentral. Lineage: Eukaryota; Metazoa; Platyhelminthes; Trematoda; Strigeidida; Schistosomatidae.